Molecule: non-coding RNA, 22 nt
Filed under: Rattus norvegicus (Norway rat)
Lineage: Eukaryota; Metazoa; Chordata; Mammalia; Rodentia; Muridae
Source: RNAcentral
CUGCAUUCUCUCUGCCUAGGAC